Dunckerocampus dactyliophorus (ringed pipefish) is the source of this 3960-nucleotide RNA transcript. It is a transcript of the gene named A kinase (PRKA) interacting protein 1, with no coding region annotated. The record is from RefSeq and is a predicted model, not a curated record. The transcript has 7 exons. Lineage: Eukaryota; Metazoa; Chordata; Actinopteri; Syngnathiformes; Syngnathidae.
UGUGUGCGAGCGCGUACGUUUAAAAUGAUUCAUUCGACGUCGUCGCCCGCAGUAAGCGCAUUAGCUCGCGCGAGACUUGUUGGCCGUGCUUGCUUGUUGACGUAAUGACGUCACUGCUGGCCAAACUUGACAAGUCCAACUGCAUUUACUUUUUAUUCCUAAACGAUGUUUUAAUGUGCUAAACAAGUUAAACCGACGAGCGAAUGUUUAAGGAGGACAAUAAGUCAUCAGUAAGCUAGCAUCCAUUGUCAACCAUCUGUUGUUCAUGAUUGUAAUCAACAAGAAAAGUUUAAUAAUUCAAUUUUUUGGGGGGGGUUAUUGAAACCAUUUAAGGCGCAUACAAAUAAUACAAAUAAUACAAAUGAUUUGAGGUGAACUUAAUUUGACCUCUAAACGUUUGAAUGCCCAACUGAUCAGCGUUUCAGUACUUUUUUCACAAUUUGCUGUUUCCUGAGCUGAAGGAGCUGAACUGCACAAUGAACAGGCGUGACCAGGCCUUGUUGAUGUCGACGCUAGUCUGGCUGGAGUCUACCCUGCAGCGCUCUGCCCGCCUGGGCCUAGAGGUGCUGGAGCGAGCCUCCAAACGGAAGAUGGUCUUGAUGACUCCUCCAGAGACCUACACUACUGACACGUCUGAAGAUGAAGCAGUACAAAGCAGUACAAAUAAAGGCUUGACAGACCUGGAGGAGGCCUUUGCCACCAUCGCAGAGUUUAUGGCGCGGACCAGCUAUCAUUGCAAAAAGUUCUACCAGGCGGCAGGAUGCACGGGCAAAUCCAACAUAGAGAAGAAACAUGUGGCUCGCUUCCAUAAGCAUAUGAAUGCUGCUUCACCUCCACUCGGGAAACACGGUAAAAGGUCGAGAGCAGCGGAGGAUUUCUACAUUGAGGUUGCUCCUGGAGCGUACUCUGUCAGCGCCAGCCUUCCGGGCUCACGGCAGCAAACUAAGAUGGUCGACCUCAACGCUGGCGAGACGGUCAGCCUCACGUUUAAGCUCUGACCUGGCCACAGCAAGACUGUCACCAGUGAUGCAAUGAACCAGACAUGGACUGAGACACAGGGCUGUGAUUGGGCAUAGAACCAGGAAGUGACUGAAACUGAGAGCUGUGAUUGGGCGAGGCGCUGCUCUGCGGAAUAGGGACGUUGGAUCUUGCCGACGAUGACGACGAUGACGACGAUGCCGCCCUCACUGGCGAGAAACACAAACAUGAUCGCACAUCAUGCUAUUUCAAUAUUAGGGUGUCCAAACUUUACCAGCCAAAACGUUGACGAAUGCAGUGGGAGCCACUUUGCUACAUUUUGUGCAUUAAAGAUACUAAAGGCAAUUCAAUGUACUGUAUGUGUGUAUGUAGGUCAGUAUAUGCUAAGAUAUCAGAACAAAACAUCCACACCUUAGCUUUGUGUUAUAGGUGACAAAACAAAUGUAAUAUCAAUUAUUAUUUUUAAAAUAUGCCCAGGGCCAAUAGAAAAUGAGCUGCAGGCCAAAUAUGCCCCCCAGGGCUGCAUUUUGGACACCCCAAAAACUGGUAUUGUUAACAAGGGCCAGGGAUGUCCAAAGUGUGGCCUGGGGACCAUUUGCUAUCAAAAAUCCCAGAAAAAAUGUGGAUAAUAGAGCCAAGAGCCACAAUGUAAGAGACAAAGCUGAAAAUGCUUUUUAAUAACUAAUGUUCUAAUAUGUUUUCUUAGCCUGUUCACAAAUUUUAAAAAAUACAUAAAAAUAUCAAAAUGGUCCCCAACAUCGUCUCAUUUUUUAGCAUACGGCCCUCGUUGGACUUGAGUUGAACAAGAGUUAUUACAAACGGAUAUAGAUUUUUAUAAGCCUCUUGUUUGAGCAUAUUUUAACACAGAAAAUUCCCUUUCAUCGCUAGUGAAUGUCAUUCUUCACCCUGGGGAAAAAAAACAUUAAAACUUAGUUUAUACACAUUGAGAAAGAAUUUAAUUUUCAUUACUGGACUACAAAAUUAUUUUUGUGGACACCCUGUUUCUGCAUAUUUCCAGUGAAUAAUGCAUAUUAAUAAUAAAAUUCAUACAUAUAAAUGAUGAUCCAAUUUAGUAUGGUGGCACUUUGCUGAGUGCUCAUGUCAUUUUGAACAGGAUGUGUCAGUGUGGUGUAUCCAAACCUCGUUGUGUGCAUUGCGGUUCGGGACCUGUUCUUCUCCAGUACCUCCACGGAAGACGUUGCUGGGUUCCACGUCUUUUAACGGCAGGAAGAAGCGCACCCUCAUCGUCAGAGGAGGAUGAUAGUGCCACAUUAGUGUCAUCCUCCAUUACAUCAUCAGUCUGUGUCGUGUCACAUCCAUUUAUUCUUUCCAGGCUGGACCCAACGUUCCAUCUGUUGUAUGCAGAGCAGGACCAACACUUUGUGGAGGGGUGCAAGCAGCAUGCAGACACACACCAUGAGCUGCAAGAACCAUGGAGAGAUGACGUCUGUUUGUGGAGCUCCAGCACUAUUCUACUAUAAUGAGGGGCUGAAAUAGGCUGAACCAGACUGGCUGGGACCAGAGAGAUGCACACGUGCCACAUUUGCACCUGAAGCAUGCUUUGGACCUCUCCUGAAGGACAAAAAGGAUAAGGCCGUAUCUACGCAGGUGUGGUUCCCAUGGUGACAGGACAGCAUCUCCACAGUGCAGGGAAGCUGGGCUUGUCUCACAGUGUUUGACCAUGUCGGGGGAGCAAACCAGCUGCUGCUGCUGCCGCCGCCAGGGGAAGUCAGCACCCAAAAUGACACUUCCUGAACAGUCAAACUCCACUACCCACACUCCCCUGUGACCCUGUUUGAACAGAAAAGCAUGUACUUACUGCAUUUAAACACAAAAUUAUGGAGGCCCGUUUCCACAACUGAAAGAAAAAAAAAUUCCAAUGGUAAGUCAGAAUUAUGAGAUCGAAAAAUCUAAAUAAUGAAAUAAAAGGUCAUAAUUUUGAGAUUAAAAGUUAAAAUUACGAGAUGAAAAGUCAUAAUUACGAGAUAAAAAGUUGAAAUUACAAGAUGAAAAGUCAUAAUUAUGAGAUAAAAAUUCAAAAUUAUGAGAUACAUGGUCGCAUGGCACUUGGCAGUUUGUGUCUCAUAAUUUAAAUUUUUUAUCAUAAUUUUAUCUCAUAUUUGAUCUCUUCCAUAUUAUUUUGACUUACCAUUUGGGAUAUUUUUUUAACAGUGGCAGAACGGGGCUACCAUACAAAAUGGUAAUAACGACAAAGACAUUUCCUUCCACUGCGUGGUGCUAAUUUAACAUGUGAUGAGUUGAAGUUGAUGAGAGCAGGACAACGUUUUCAGUGUCUAUGUUCACCUGCACUUGCUGUAUGACAGUAGCAAGGUAAUAAAAAGCAUCUAUCUCCUUCCUGGCCAGCACCCGACAACCUGGAAAGAACUCAGAACUGGACAAUGUUCUGGCUGGAAGCUCGCAGGAAGUAGCUGGAUGGAGUAGGUGACCCCUGGAGGCCAAAAGGAAGUCAACAAAGAGCUGAAGUUGCCGUUUGCUGUGCUGUUUAUUCAUGUCAGUUUGCAGACAGUACAAGAUGAUAUUGUUUGUUUUUUGGAUGGUUUGGAUGCUGUUCCCAUGGAGACCAACCUGAACAGCAGUGUGGAUGUUCUUCCCUGUGCUGGAAGGCAGGCAGAGAUGGGUGGACAGCAACACUGGACUGCACAGGUAUUUUCUGCACAGUGAAGCGGGACUGGCUGAGCACAAAAAUACAAGCAUAUUUUAGUCCUGACACUCAUGCAACCUCGGAAAAAAAACUUUGGACCUGUUUAGGGCCCCAUCACAUAUUGGCUGUCUACAGCCAUGCAGAUUUUCAUUUCAAAGUAAUAGGGGUGUAAAGGUUAGGUGUGUCCCAAUCCACAUUUUUUGGCUUCCGAUCCCAUUUUUUUAAAAAUAGUCUUGCCGAUUCUCUCCGGUACCAAUCCCUUUAAAAAAAAAAAAAUAAAAAAAUUGUAACAUUCAUGUUACAAACAAGAAUAUGUGGAA